Molecule: ribosomal RNA, 119 nt
Filed under: Prolemur simus (greater bamboo lemur)
Lineage: Eukaryota; Metazoa; Chordata; Mammalia; Primates; Lemuridae
Source: RNAcentral
AUCUACAGCCAUACCACCCAGAACAUGCCCAGUCUUGUCUGAUCUUGGAAACUAAGCAGGUUAGGGCCUAGUUAGUACUCGGAUUGGAGACUGCCUGGGAAUGCUGGGUGCUGUAGGCU